RNAcentral lists this ribosomal RNA (877 nucleotides) under Bacillus sp. FJAT-17470. RNAcentral's name for it is "bacterial SSU rRNA". It matches the Rfam family "Bacterial small subunit ribosomal RNA", at positions 88 to 950 of the family's 1533-position model. The record is from RNAcentral. Lineage: Bacteria; Bacillati; Bacillota; Bacilli; Caryophanales; Bacillaceae.
GAUGUUAGCGGCGGACGGGUGAGUAACACGUGGGUAACCUGCCUGUAAGACUGGGAUAACUCCGGGAAACCGGAGCUAAUACCGGAUAGUUCCUUGAACCGCAUGGUUCAAGGAUGAAAGACGGUUUCGGCUGUCACUUACAGAUGGACCCGCGGCGCAUUAGCUAGUUGGUGAGGUAACGGCUCACCAAGGCGACGAUGCGUAGCCGACCUGAGAGGGUGAUCGGCCACACUGGGACUGAGACACGGCCCAGACUCCUACGGGAGGCAGCAGUAGGGAAUCUUCCGCAAUGGACGAAAGUCUGACGGAGCAACGCCGCGUGAGUGAUGAAGGUUUUCGGAUCGUAAAGCUCUGUUGUUAGGGAAGAACAAGUGCAAGAGUAACUGCUUGCACCUUGACGGUACCUAACCAGAAAGCCACGGCUAACUACGUGCCAGCAGCCGCGGUAAUACGUAGGUGGCAAGCGUUGUCCGGAAUUAUUGGGCGUAAAGGGCUCGCAGGCGGUUUCUUAAGUCUGAUGUGAAAGCCCCCGGCUCAACCGGGGAGGGUCAUUGGAAACUGGGAAACUUGAGUGCAGAAGAGGAGAGUGGAAUUCCACGUGUAGCGGUGAAAUGCGUAGAGAUGUGGAGGAACACCAGUGGCGAAGGCGACUCUCUGGUCUGUAACUGACGCUGAGGAGCGAAAGCGUGGGGAGCGAACAGGAUUAGAUACCCUGGUAGUCCACGCCGUAAACGAUGAGUGCUAAGUGUUAGGGGGUUUCCGCCCCUUAGUGCUGCAGCUAACGCAUUAAGCACUCCGCCUGGGGAGUACGGUCGCAAGACUGAAACUCAAAGGAAUUGACGGGGGCCCGCACAAGCGGUGGAGCAUGUGGUUUAAU